This 253-nucleotide ribosomal RNA is filed under the name uncultured bacterium. Its description in RNAcentral is "partial 16S ribosomal RNA". It matches the Rfam family "Bacterial small subunit ribosomal RNA", at positions 524 to 776 of the family's 1533-position model. The record is from RNAcentral.
UACAGAGGGUGCAAACGUUGUUCGGAAUUACUGGGCGUAAAGCGCAUGUAGGCGGCCAAGCAGGUCGGAUGUGAAAUCCCUCGGCUCAACCAAGGAAGUGCAUUCGAAACCGCAUGGCUGGAGUCCCGGAGAGGAUGGUGGAAUUCUCGGUGUAGAGGUGAAAUUCGUAGAUAUCGAGAGGAACACCGGCGGCGAAGGCGGCCAUCUGGACGAGGACUGACGCUGAGAUGCGAAAGCGUGGGGAGCAAACAGG